This 486-nucleotide ribosomal RNA is filed under the name uncultured bacterium. RNAcentral describes it as "bacterial SSU rRNA". It matches the Rfam family "Bacterial small subunit ribosomal RNA", at positions 8 to 526 of the family's 1533-position model. The record is from RNAcentral.
AGAGUUUGAUCAUGGCUCAGAAUCAGCGCUGGCGGCGCGCUUAACACAUGCAAGUCGCACGAGAAAGUGGAGCAAUCCAUGAGUAAAGUGGCGUACGGGUGAGUAACACGUGGAUCAUCUACCUCUUAGUGGGGAAUAACCCUGGGAAACCGGGGCUAAUACCGCAUAAGCCUGCAAAGGGAAAGCAGCAAUGCGCUGAGAGAGGAGUCCGCGGCCGAUUAGCUAGUUGGUAGGGUAAAGGCCUACCAAGGCAAUGAUCGGUAGCCGGCCUGAGAGGGCACACGGCCACACUGGCACUGAAACACGGGCCAGACUCCUACGGGAGGCAGCAGUGGGGAAUCUUGCACAAUGGAGGAAACUCUGAUGCAGCGACGCCGCGCGAGCGAUGAAGCCCUUCGGGGUGUAAAGCUCUUUCGACGGGAACGAUAAUGACGGUACCCGGAGAAGAAGCUGCGGCUAACUACGUGCCAGCCGCCGCGGUAAUAC